Molecule: ribosomal RNA, 119 nt
Filed under: Pteropus alecto (black flying fox)
Lineage: Eukaryota; Metazoa; Chordata; Mammalia; Chiroptera; Pteropodidae
Source: RNAcentral
GUCUAUGGCCACACCAUCCUAAACAAGCCCAAUCCGGUCUGAUCUCGGAAGCUAAGCAGGGUCGGGCCUGGUGAGUACCUGGAUGGGAGACCACUUAGGAAGACCAGCUGCUGUAGUCG